This 428-nucleotide unclassified non-coding RNA is filed under the name Streptomyces sp. Its description in RNAcentral is "partial 16S-23S ribosomal RNA intergenic spacer". The record is from RNAcentral. Lineage: Bacteria; Bacillati; Actinomycetota; Actinomycetes; Kitasatosporales; Streptomycetaceae.
GCACUUCUUACCAAGUUCGCUUGGUCAGAGGCCAGUACACCGGCGAAUGUUCGGUGCUGGUUGCUCAUGGGUGGAACGUUGACUAUUCGGCACGAUGAGCGCGGCUUCGUUAGUACUGCUCUCCCGGGGAAGAAAGGAACGGGUGGAUUGUGCCGGGCAGGUUGUUGGUUAUCUAACUGUGAGGACUCGUUCGAGUCUGUCUUUCCUUUGCCGGCCCCACCCAACUCGUCCCUUUCUUACGGAGAGAGGGAUGGGUGGUCGUUGUUUGAGAAAGACCCGCGGGACGCGAGCGCGUGUGUCUGAGUUUUUUUUUGCGGGCGCUGGAUGCCUUGGCUCCGGCAACCAAUCAAGGACGUGGGAGGCCGGCAUAAAUAAAAACGCCCCCUCUUAGUUUUUUCCCAUGGGGUGAAAUGUGACCUCCUAACUCC